GAGACAGAAAUCCUCUAUUUAUCAAUAUUGCAGGUACAGCAUGAGUAUCAGCAAAGUAAGCUUCCCCACACCACAUCACUAUUGCACCUCAGCCCUGACUACCUCAAGUGAGUGAUCACUGGUAGAGGGGCAGAAGUAAUUAAUUCCUAACUUCUUUACUAAGAUUAC
Molecule: small RNA, 168 nt
Filed under: Chelonoidis abingdonii (Abingdon island giant tortoise)
Lineage: Eukaryota; Metazoa; Chordata; Testudines; Testudinidae
Description: TUC338 (ENSCABG00000012312.1)
Source: RNAcentral